Gadus chalcogrammus (walleye pollock) is the source of this 1277-nucleotide long non-coding RNA. RefSeq lists it as uncharacterized. NCBI's taxonomy places the organism in Eukaryota, Metazoa, Chordata, Actinopteri, Gadiformes, Gadidae. The transcript is spliced from 3 exons. The record is from RefSeq and is a predicted model, not a curated record.
ACCACAUGUGAGUCAAAACUUUCAUUCAGCGUGUGGCAGGAGAGCAAAGACAUCUUCAGUGUUCUCCGCUCCAGCCUUUACUGGUCUCCACGGUGCUGAACCACUGUGAGACUCAAAUGGAGGAAGUGUGCGUCCCAGGGAAGGUGCUUCCCCUCUGGUCCUCAGCUCCGUCCGGGGGCCUCGGAGGAGCCACCGACUCCUUCCUGAGCGCCGCACGGCUGGCGAGGGGGGGGUGGAGGGAGUCCAGCGGACCCGGGUCUCCAGCCCCUCCCCCUCGACCCCAACACAGCUCCCCCGCUGGCCAGGAGGAGAACUACACCCCCUCGCCUCCGACGACAGGCCAGAGAGACGCAGACAGGCCUGUACGCUUGGGACCAGGUCUAACAGCCCAGCAGACAGACAGGCCUGUACGCUUGGGACCAGGUCUAACAGCCCAGCAGAUAGACAGGCAUCUGCGCAGAAGAGUCGGUCUAGCAUCCAGGCAGAGAGAUAGGCGGGUCCCUGGUGUCACUGGAGUCUCCUGUAUUUCUGGUAUCACUGGUGACUCUGUUGCUGUCUCUGCUGGUGACUCUCGUGUCUCUGGUAUCCCUGAUGUCGCUGGUGUCUCUGAUGGUGUCUCUUGUGUCUCUGGUAUCACUUGUGUUUCUGUUGAUGUCUUUGGUGUCACGGGUGUCUCUGCUGGUGUCUCGUCGGGCUGUCACAGAUCGGGGAGGUGGAGGGUCAGAGGGUCUUCGCUGCCUGUUAUCACAGAGGUAUAGAUAUAGAUCAUAUAGAAGCUGCAGAUAUGGAGCUGAAACAUGUGUUAGUGUUGGGAAACUCCACAAUAUGUAACAAUGAUAAAAACGACUAUUUUUUUACUCCUAAUUUCCUCUAAACCAAGACCUCUUCUAUAUCUACAUUAUGUUAUUUAUAUUGAGAGAGACUGAGAGAAAUCAAAUCAUAAUGAAUGAAGGAAGGAUGAUGUGUACUUAUAAAUAAUAAAUAAAGAUACGAUAAUUUGUGUUUAAUAAUGAAUAAAUGAAGGAUAAUGUCUAUUGAAUGAUUAGUAAAGGAAGGAUUAUGCGUAUUUAAUAAUGACAAAAUGAAGGAUAAUGUGUGUUUAAUGAAUACAGGAAGGUUAAUAUGCAUUUAAUAAUGAAUAAAUGAAGGAUAAUGUGUAUUUAAAAAAUACAGGGAGGUUAAUGUGUGAUAAAUAAUGAAUGAAAGAAAGAAAACGUGAAUCCAAGAAAGAAUAAACUUGGGGAUAAUGUAAAUGAAAGUGUUUACAAGAUAUACUU